Molecule: ribosomal RNA, 241 nt
Filed under: uncultured bacterium
Lineage: Bacteria
Description: partial 16S ribosomal RNA
Rfam family: Bacterial small subunit ribosomal RNA
Source: RNAcentral
GGGGAAUAUUGGACAAUGGGGGGCAACCCUGAUCCAGCAAUGCCGCGUGUGUGAAGAAGGUCUUCGGAUUGUAAAGCACUUUCGACGGGGACGAUGAUGGCGGUACCCGUAGAAGAAGCCCCGGCUAACUUCGUGCCAGCAGCCGCGGUAAUACGAAGGGGGCUAGCGUUGCUCGGAAUGACUGGGCGUAAAGGGCGUGUAGGCGGUUUACACAGUCAGAUGUGAAAUCCCCGGGGCUUAA